CCUCGUUUUGUAACCCUCUUUUUCGGUUUUUCUCUAUUUUUUUGUUAAAAAUGUAUGACUCUAUAAAUUUUAGACCGUGAGGCCAAACUUAGCAUGUGAUACCUUCUCGGGAAUCCCAUAGAGAGUUCUCCAAUGAAUGAGCAAAGACAAUGGAAUUCUUUUAUUGGUUUUUUUCUACUCUAAAUUUUGACCUUAAUGUACUUUUUCAGGCCUUUUCGUGAUCUUUGCUAUAUUACGGGGCGAAAAUUAUAUGUUCGGACAUUGUUUUCGAAUAUUUUGCAUGUAUCAAAACUCUUAUAAACAAGAUAGGGUAUUCGAACAUAGCUGGUGGGACCCACGGCAAAUGGAUCAUAAAGUCUUCAAAAAAGAAUAGAUACGAUUGCAUUGGAUGUAGCAACAGAUGCAUUCAUACCAGCAUUAAUGCACCGGAUCCCAUCAGAAAUCUGCAGUUAAGCGUGCUUGGGCGAGAGUAGUACUACGAUAGGUGACCUCUCGAA
This 497-nucleotide small RNA is filed under the name Arabidopsis thaliana (thale cress). The record is from RNAcentral. Lineage: Eukaryota; Viridiplantae; Streptophyta; Magnoliopsida; Brassicales; Brassicaceae.